UAGUAUGGGGAUCUGCCCGAUAGAGGGGGAUAACUACUGGAAACGGUGGCUAAUACCGCAUAAUGUCUACAGACCAAAGCAGGGGCUCUUCGGACCUUGCACUAUCGGAUGAACCCAUAUGGGAUUAGCUAGUAGGUGGGGUAAAGGCUCACCUAGGCGACGAUCUCUAGCUGGUCUGAGAGGAUGAUCAGCCACACUGGGACUGAGACACGGCCCAG
Molecule: ribosomal RNA, 218 nt
Filed under: uncultured bacterium
Lineage: Bacteria
Description: partial 16S ribosomal RNA
Rfam family: Bacterial small subunit ribosomal RNA
Source: RNAcentral